UCAUUUGCAAAUGUCGUCCUACACUCGU
Molecule: small RNA, 28 nt
Filed under: Bombyx mori (domestic silkworm)
Lineage: Eukaryota; Metazoa; Arthropoda; Insecta; Lepidoptera; Bombycidae
Description: ovarian small RNA-26407
Source: RNAcentral